GGAAGCCNAACCAUGCAAGUCGAGGGGUAUAGGUUUUCGGACCUAGAGACCGGCGCACGGGUGCGUAACGCGUAUGCAAUCUACCUUUCACAGAGGGAUAGCCCAGAGAAAUUUGGAUUAAUACCUCAUAGUAUUAUGAAGUGGCAUCAUUUUAUAAUUAAAGUUCCAACGGUGAAAGAUGAGCAUGCGUCCCAUUAGCUAGAUGGUAAGGUAACGGCUUACCAUGGCCACGAUGGGUAGGGGUCCUGAGAGGGAGAUCCCCCACACUGGUACUGAGACACGGACCAGACUCCUACGGGAGGCAGCAGUGAGGAAUAUUGGUCAAUGGACGCAAGUCUGAACCAGCCAUGCCGCGUGCAGGAUGACGGUCCUAUGGAUUGUAAACUGCUUUUGUACGAGAAGAAACACUCCUUCGUGAAGGAGCUUGACGGUAUCGUAAGAAUAAGGAUCGGCUAACUCCGUGCCAGCAGCCGCGGUAAUACGGAGGAUCCAAGCGUUAUCCGGAAUCAUUGGGUUUAAAGGGUCCGUAGGCGGUUUAGUAAGUCAGUGGUGAAAGCCCAUCGCUCAACGGUGGAACGGCCAUUGAUACUGCUAGACUUGAAUAAUUAGGAAGUAACUAGAAUAUGUAGUGUAGCGGUGAAAUGCUUAGAGAUUACAUGGAAUACCAAUUGCGAAGGCAGGUUACUACUAAUUGAUUGACGCUGAUGGACGAAAGCGUGGGGAGCGAACAGGAUUA
Molecule: ribosomal RNA, 736 nt
Filed under: Flavobacterium sp. IH7-4
Lineage: Bacteria; Pseudomonadati; Bacteroidota; Flavobacteriia; Flavobacteriales; Flavobacteriaceae
Description: bacterial SSU rRNA
Rfam family: Bacterial small subunit ribosomal RNA
Source: RNAcentral